Molecule: ribosomal RNA, 179 nt
Filed under: Gammaproteobacteria bacterium
Lineage: Bacteria; Pseudomonadati; Pseudomonadota; Gammaproteobacteria
Description: partial 23S ribosomal RNA
Rfam family: Bacterial large subunit ribosomal RNA
Source: RNAcentral
UAACCGCUGAAAGCAUCUAAGCGGGAAGCCCCCUUCGAGACGAGAUUUCCCUUAGGACUUGAUCCUACUAAAGUGCCGUUCAAGACGAGGACGUUGAUAGGCUGGGUGUGUAAGCGUUGUGAGGCGUUGAGCUAACCAGUACUAAUUGCACGUGAGGCUUGACCAUAUAAUCAUGGGUU